ACCACAUCCAAGGAAGGCAGCAGGCGCGCAAAUUACCCACUCCCGGCACGGGGAGGUAGUGACGAAAAAUAACGAUACGGGACUCAUCCGAGGCCCCGUGAUCGGAAUGAGCACACUUUAAAUCCUUUAACUAGGAUCAAUUGGAGGGCAAGUCUGGUGCCAGCAGCCGCGGUAAUUCCAGCUCCAAUAGCGUAUAUUAAAGUUGCUGCGGUUAAAAAGCUCGUAGUCGAAAUUGCGUCCCGGGCCGCCGGUUCGUCGCUCGCGACGCUAACCGACGAGCACGCGGGACGUCCGGCCGGUGUUGCGAACUCGCCGACGGUGCUCUUAACCGAGUGUCCAGGCGGGGACCGGCAAUGUUACUUUGAACAAAUUAAAGUGCUUAAAGCAGGCUAAACUGCGCUCGUAUAAUACGUGCAUGGAAUAAUCGAAUAGGACCUCCGUUCUAUUUUGUUGGUUUUUGUAGAACGCACGGAGGUAAUGAUCAAUGGGUGCGGAUGGGGGCAUUCGUAUUGCGACGUUAGAGGUGAAAUUCUUGGAUCGUCGCAAGACGCACCAAAGCGAAAGCAUUUGCCAAAAACGCUUUCAUCGAUCAAGAACGAAAGUUAGAGGUUCGAAGGCGAUCAGAUACCGCCCUAGUUCUAACCAUAAACUAUGCCAGCUAGCGAUCCGCCGCGGUUACUACUAUGACUCGGCGGGCAGCUUCCGGGAAACCAAAGCUUUUGGGUUCCGGGGGAAGUAUGGUUGCAAAGCUGAAACUUAAAGGAAUUGACGGAAGGGCACCACCAGGAGUGGAGCCUGCGGCUUAAUUUGACUCAACACGGGAAACCUCACCAGGCCCGGACACCGAAAGGAUUGACAGAUUGAGAGCUCUUUCUUGAUUCGGUGGGUGGUGGUGCAUGGCCGUUCUUAGUUGGUGGAGCGAUUUGUCUGGUUAAUUCCGAUAACGAACGAGACUCCGUCCUGCUAAAUAGCCGUCAGAACGCGACUACGUCGCGUUACGGGCAUCUCGAAGGCCCGCGUCCGAGCGGUCCCCGCGUCGUCGUCGCGUCGUCUCCGACGCCGCCGUCCGCGGCCGACACUUCGGUGUCGGUCCGCGAGUCGGAGCGGCUAGGGACGCGCGCGCGCGCGCGUGUGUUUCGCCGGCGCGAGGUUCUUACACUGUCUGCGGACAAACUAUUCUUCUUAGAGGGACAAGCGGCUCGAAGCCGCGCUACAAAGAGCAAUAACAGGUCUGUGAUGCCCUUAGAUGUCCUGGGCCGCACGCGCGCUACACUGAAGGAAUCAGCGUGUGCGCAACAGCCCUCGGCCGAGAGGCCCGGGUAAUCCGCUGAAAUUCCUUCGUGCUAGGGAUUGGGGCUUGAAAUUCUUCCCCAUGAACGAGGAAUUCCCAGUAAGCGCGAGUCAUAAGCUCGCGUUGAUUACGUCCCUGCCCUUUGUACACACCGCCCGUCGCUACUACCGAUCGAACGAUUUAGCGAGGUCUUCGGACCGGCGCUCGUCGACUUAMCGYCGCACGCUCCAGCGCUGGAAAGUCGACCGAACUUGAUCGUUUAGAGGAAANANNAAAANUCGNAA
This 1575-nucleotide ribosomal RNA is filed under the name Lampyridae gen. sp. 1 VSF-2020. RNAcentral describes it as "SSU rRNA". Lineage: Eukaryota; Metazoa; Arthropoda; Insecta; Coleoptera; Lampyridae. The record is from RNAcentral.